AUAGGUCAGAGAUGUAAGCAUGGCAACAUGUUAAGUUGACUGAUACUAAUAAGUCGAGGGCUUGACCAAAA
RNAcentral lists this ribosomal RNA (71 nucleotides) under Clostridium botulinum. RNAcentral describes it as "partial 23S ribosomal RNA". Lineage: Bacteria; Bacillati; Bacillota; Clostridia; Eubacteriales; Clostridiaceae. The record is from RNAcentral.